UAAAAUGCAAUGACGGAGACCAGUACACGAAUGACAUCGCUUGACAGGGAGAAGCUGCCGAAGACUGCAAGCAGCUUUGAAGUGAGCCUCGUGGAAUUCCCUCCAGAGCAGCCCUUUGAACGGCCCAGGCCAAGUAGGAGGAAACGGGUCAUUCCGUUAACGAUGAGCAAGUGAAGUGCCGGGAACGUCAAGCGUUCUUGGUGCUUAAUCAGGGUGGUACCGCGAACAGACUCGUCCCUUUU
This 242-nucleotide non-coding RNA is filed under the name Brevibacillus parabrevis. RNAcentral's name for it is "T-box sequence". It matches the Rfam family "T-box leader". Rfam says of the family: Uncharged tRNA acts as the effector for transcription antitermination of genes in the T-box leader family. Lineage: Bacteria; Bacillati; Bacillota; Bacilli; Caryophanales; Paenibacillaceae. The record is from RNAcentral.